UACAGAGGUCUCAAGCGUUGUUCGGAUUCAUUGGGCGUAAAGGGUGCGUAGGCGGUUUGGCAAGUCUGAUGUGAAAUCUAUGGGCUCAACCCAUAGUCUGCAUCAGAAACUGCCGGGCUUGAGUAUGGGAGAGGUGAGUGGAAUUUCCGGUGUAGCGGUGAAAUGCGUAGAUAUCGGAAGGAACACCUGUGGCGAAAGCGGCUCACUGGACCAUUACUGACGCUGAUGUACGAAAGCUAGGGGAGCAAACAGG
This 253-nucleotide ribosomal RNA is filed under the name uncultured bacterium. RNAcentral's name for it is "partial 16S ribosomal RNA". It matches the Rfam family "Bacterial small subunit ribosomal RNA", at positions 524 to 776 of the family's 1533-position model. The record is from RNAcentral.